This 487-nucleotide ribosomal RNA is filed under the name uncultured bacterium. RNAcentral describes it as "bacterial SSU rRNA". It matches the Rfam family "Bacterial small subunit ribosomal RNA", at positions 28 to 512 of the family's 1533-position model. The record is from RNAcentral.
GACGAACGCUGGCGGCGCGCCUAACACAUGCAAGUCGAGCGGGAAGCUUUUUAAGGAUUCUUCGGAUGAAUUAAAAAGUGGAGAGCGGCGGACGGGUGAGUAACGCGUGAGAAACCUGCCCUAUACAGGGGGAUAGCCAUUGGAAACGAUGAUUAAUACCCCAUAUGACCACAGUAUCGCAUGAUACAGCGGUGAAAACUCCGGUGGUAUAGGAUGGUCUCGCGUCUGAUUAGCUAGUUGGUGGGGUAACGGCCUACCAAGGCGACGAUCAGUAGCCGGCCUGAGAGGGUGACCGGCCACACUGGAACUGAGACACGGUCCAGACUCCUACGGGAGGCAGCAGUGGGGAAUAUUGCACAAUGGGCGAAAGCCUGAUGCAGCAACGCCGCGUGAGCGAAGAAGGUCUUCGGAUCGUAAAAGCUCUGUCCUAUGGGAAGAACACAAUGACGGUACCAUAGGAGGAAGCCCCGGCUAACUACGUGCCAGC